Non-coding RNA from Podarcis lilfordi (Lilford's wall lizard), 82 nucleotides. The record is from the annotation of a GenBank genome assembly. NCBI's taxonomy places the organism in Eukaryota, Metazoa, Chordata, Lepidosauria, Squamata, Lacertidae.
ACAGCUGGAUAGCUCAGUUGGCUACAGCAUGGUGCUGAUAACGCCAAGGCUGGUGGUUCGAUCCCCGUAAGGGACAGCUGCA